This 253-nucleotide ribosomal RNA is filed under the name uncultured bacterium. Its description in RNAcentral is "partial 16S ribosomal RNA". It matches the Rfam family "Bacterial small subunit ribosomal RNA", at positions 524 to 776 of the family's 1533-position model. The record is from RNAcentral.
UACGUAGGGUGCGAGCGUUAAUCGGAAUUACUGGGCGUAAAGCGUGCGUAGGUGGUUUGUUAAGUCUGUUGUGAAAGCCCCGGGCUCAACCUGGGAAUGGCAAUGGAUACUGGCAAGCUAGAGUGCGGUAGAGGGUAGUGGAAUUCCCGGUGUAGCGGUGAAAUGCGUAGAGAUCGGGAGGAACACCAGUGGCGAAGGCGGCUACCUGGACCAGCACUGACACUGAGGCACGAAAGCCAGGGGAGCAAACGGG